Molecule: ribosomal RNA, 813 nt
Filed under: Trigona truculenta
Lineage: Eukaryota; Metazoa; Arthropoda; Insecta; Hymenoptera; Apidae
Description: eukaryotic LSU rRNA
Rfam family: Eukaryotic large subunit ribosomal RNA
Source: RNAcentral
AANCCGUUCAGGGGUAAACCUGAGAAACCCAAAAGGUCGAAUGGGGAGAUUCAUCGUCGACGGCGCUGGCUACCGUUGGUGCGCGAUGCUCCGGGUGGGCCCUUGCGGUUCCAUUAGCGUGUGGCACACCACCUUCGGAUCGAACGUUCCGGCGUCGUAGUCGUGCACUUCUCCCCUAGUAGGACGUCGCGACCCGUUGUGUGUCGGUCUACGGCCCGAGUGGGCGCCUGUCGCGUCGUUUCGGCGCACGCGGCAGACCCUCGGUCGCCCGGCCGGCUGCACGACGGUACACUCACGGUAUCGGGCCGCAACCAGUCCAUUCUCGAAUGUGUGUGCGUCCAACCCGCCGCAAGUUCGGUCAGUUCUUACCCGGAGGUACGGACCCUGUGCCGUCCCCGGGCCUGGCCAGCUGUUAGCAGGCGGUGUCCUCGGACUGGCCAAAUCUCAGAUUACCGGUCGGCGACGCUAUUGCUUUGGGUACUCUCAGGACCCGUCUUGAAACACGGACCAAGGAGUCUAACAUGUGCGCGAGUCAUUGGGAUGCAUAAACCUAAAGGCGAAAUGAAAGUGAAAGUCGGCCUUCGCGCCGAUCGAGGGAGGAUGGGCCGCGUAACCAUGCGGCCUCGCACUCCCGGGGCGUCUCGUUCUCAUUGCGAGAAGAGGCGCACCUAGAGCGUACACGUUGGGACCCGAAAGAUGGUGAACUAUGCCUGGUCAGGACGAAGUCAGGGGAAACCCUGAUGGAGGUCCGUAGCGAUUCUGACGUGCAAAUCGAUCGUCGGAACUGGGUAUAGGGGCGAAAGACUAAUCGAA